Molecule: long non-coding RNA, 823 nt
Filed under: Nicotiana benthamiana
Lineage: Eukaryota; Viridiplantae; Streptophyta; Magnoliopsida; Solanales; Solanaceae
Description: long non-coding RNA (NBEN_LNC026618)
Source: RNAcentral
AGGUUCUCAGGAAGCUGAAGCAACAGAUAUCGCCACUGCUGCUGAAGAAUUAUUGUCAUGUCAUAAUAAUGGCGGGGUUGUGGGGGUUUCAGGUUCUCAGGCAGCUGAAGCAACAGAUAUCGCCACUGCUGCUGAAGAAUUAUUGUCAUGUCAUAAUAAUGGCGGGUUAGGUGGCGAUGGUGAUGUAAUAGCAGGUCUACCUCUGGCCGAUUCGUUUAAUGAGUCCGGAAAGGAAGAUGCUUUUAUUUUAGCAGAAGUAUCAUGUGGACCACCUAGUCAUACACUGGCUGCUCAAGUUGAUAAGGCUCUGGAAAAUUUGAACGAUGAAAACCUAGUGGAUGGUAGUGAGUGGCCAGAAAACAACUGCUUUACUUCUGAAACUGGAAAUGGAACUGAAAAUAUGAUAGGGCAGCAGAAGUAGGACCACAUGGAACUUGCCUUUCAGGUUCUCAGGCAGCUGAAGCAACAGAUAUCGCCACUGCUGCUGAAGAAUUAUUGUCAUGUCAUAAUAAUGGCGGGUUAGGUGGCGAUGGUGAUGUAAUAGCAGGUCUACCUCUGGCCGAUUCGUUUAAUGAGUCCGGAAAGGAAGAUGCUUUUAUUUUAGCAGAAGUAUCAUGUGGACCACCUAGUCAUACACUGGCUGCUCAAGUUGAUAAGGCUCUGGAAAAUUUGAACGAUGAAAACCUAGUGGAUGGUAGUGAGUGGCCAGAAAACAGCUGCUUUACUUCUGAAGCUGGAAAUGGAACUGAAAAUAUGAUAAGCAAUGCAGUUUUAUUGGAGGCUGCCCAAGACAGUGCUACAGUUAAAGAUGCAACUAAUGUAG